AAAUUGAAGAGUUUGAUCAUGGCUCAGAUUGAACGCUGGCGGCAGGCCUAACACAUGCAAGUCGAGCGGUAGCACAGAGAGCUUGCUCUCGGGUGACGAGCGGCGGACGGGUGAGUAAUGUCUGGGAAACUGCCUGAUGGAGGGGGAUAACUACUGGAAACGGUAGCUAAUACCGCAUAAUGUCGCAAGACCAAAGUGGGGGACCUUCGGGCCUCAUGCCAUCAGAUGUGCCCAGAUGGGAUUAGCUAGUAGGUGGGGUAAUGGCUCACCUAGGCGACGAUCCCUAGCUGGUCUGAGAGGAUGACCAGCCACACUGGAACUGAGACACGGUCCAGACUCCUACGGGAGGCAGCAGUGGGGAAUAUUGCACAAUGGGCGCAAGCCUGAUGCAGCCAUGCCGCGUGUGUGAAGAAGGCCUUCGGGUUGUAAAGCACUUUCAGCGGGGAGGAAGGCGGUGAGGUUAAUAACCUCACCGAUUGACGUUACCCGCAGAAGAAGCACCGGCUAACUCCGUGCCAGCAGCCGCGGUAAUACGGAGGGUGCAAGCGUUAAUCGGAAUUACUGGGCGUAAAGCGCACGCAGGCGGUCUGUCAAGUCGGAUGUGAAAUCCCCGGGCUUAACCUGGGAACUGCAUUCGAAACUGGCAGGCUAGAGUCUUGUAGAGGGGGGUAGAAUUCCAGGUGUAGCGGUGAAAUGCGUAGAGAUCUGGAGGAAUACCGGUGGCGAAGGCGGCCCCCUGGACAAAGACUGACGCUCAGGUGCGAAAGCGUGGGGAGCAAACAGGAUUAGAUACCCUGGUAGUCCACGCCGUAAACGAUGUCGAUUUGGAGGUUGUGCCCUUGAGGCGUGGCUUCCGGAGCUAACGCGUUAAAUCGACCGCCUGGGGAGUACGGCCGCAAGGUUAAAACUCAAAUGAAUUGACGGGGGCCCGCACAAGCGGUGGAGCAUGUGGUUUAAUUCGAUGCAACGCGAAGAACCUUACCUGGUCUUGACAUCCACAGAACUUAGCAGAGAUGCUUUGGUGCCUUCGGGAACUGUGAGACAGGUGCUGCAUGGCUGUCGUCAGCUCGUGUUGUGAAAUGUUGGGUUAAGUCCCGCAACGAGCGCAACCCUUAUCCUUUGUUGCCAGCGGUCCGGCCGGGAACUCAAAGGAGACUGCCAGUGAUAAACUGGAGGAAGGUGGGGAUGACGUCAAGUCAUCAUGGCCCUUACGACCAGGGCUACACACGUGCUACAAUGGCAUAUACAAAGAGAAGCGACCUCGCGAGAGCAAGCGGACCUCAUAAAGUAUGUCGUAGUCCGGAUUGGAGUCUGCAACUCGACUCCAUGAAGUCGGAAUCGCUAGUAAUCGUAGAUCAGAAUGCUACGGUGAAUACGUUCCCGGGCCUUGUACACACCGCCCGUCACACCAUGGGAGUGGGUUGCAAAAGAAGUAGGUAGCUUAACCUUCGGGAGGGCGCUUACCACUUUGUGAUUCAUGACUGGGGUGAAGUCGUAACAAGGUAACCGUAGGGGAACCUGCGGUUGGAUCACCUCCUUA
This 1540-nucleotide ribosomal RNA is filed under the name Klebsiella pneumoniae. Its description in RNAcentral is "bacterial SSU rRNA". It matches the Rfam family "Bacterial small subunit ribosomal RNA". Lineage: Bacteria; Pseudomonadati; Pseudomonadota; Gammaproteobacteria; Enterobacterales; Enterobacteriaceae. RNAcentral also lists the same sequence under 5 other names. The record is from RNAcentral.